UGAUGUUCACAUCUCGUAAUUAUGUCACUUCAUAACGUUCCAUGGUAACAGGGGGAAAUGGCUGCUCUUGUGUGAAGUAAACUCAACAUUUUUCAU
Etheostoma spectabile (orangethroat darter) is the source of this 96-nucleotide long non-coding RNA. RefSeq lists it as uncharacterized. The transcript has 3 exons. The record is from RefSeq and is a predicted model, not a curated record. NCBI's taxonomy places the organism in Eukaryota, Metazoa, Chordata, Actinopteri, Perciformes, Percidae.